Molecule: ribosomal RNA, 505 nt
Filed under: uncultured soil bacterium
Lineage: Bacteria
Description: bacterial SSU rRNA
Rfam family: Bacterial small subunit ribosomal RNA
Source: RNAcentral
AGAUUGAACGCUGGCGGCAUGCCUUACACAUGCAAGUCGAACGGCAGCACGGGAGCAAUCCUGGUGGCGAGUGGCGAACGGGUGAGUAAUACAUCGGAACGUGCCCAGUAGUGGGGGAUAGCCCGGCGAAAGCCGGACUAAUACCGCAUACGACCUAUGGGUGAAAGCGGGGGAUCGCAAGACCUCGCGCUAUUGGAGCGGCCGAUGUCAGAUUAGCUUGUUGGUGGGUAAAAGCCUACCAAGGCAACGAUCUGUAGCUGGUCUGAGAGGACGACCAGCCACACUGGGACUGAGACACGGCCCAGACUCCUACGGGAGGCAGCAGUGGGAAUUUUGGACAAUGGGCGCAAGCCUGAUCCAGCCAUGCCGCGUGCGGGAAGAAGGCCUUCGGUUGUAAACCGCUUUUGUCAGGAAGAAACGUUCGUGGCUAAUACCCCGGAGUAAGUGAACGGUACCUGAACGAAUAAGCAACCGGCUAACGUACGUGACCAGCAGUCGCGUAAUC